This is a long non-coding RNA of Gossypium raimondii (Peruvian cotton), 1601 nucleotides long. RefSeq lists it as uncharacterized. Lineage: Eukaryota; Viridiplantae; Streptophyta; Magnoliopsida; Malvales; Malvaceae. The transcript is spliced from 7 exons. The record is from RefSeq and is a predicted model, not a curated record.
CAAUAUGUAGGGAUUUAGCAGCGCUAGUGGAUAAACGCCGCAGAGGUUGAUUUCUUUUAGGCAAAACUAUUUUCCCCCUUUUUCCCAAGCCUGAAAUCGUCGUUCAUUUCCCCGAAAUUUGCAGCCCAACUAUUUUCCCCAACCUUUUAGAUUUUUUUCUUUUUUCCCCCCGAAAUCCCUAAGUUCCACCCAAAAUCAGCAGCCCAACUAUUUUCCCCAAAUCGGCAGCCUUGAAAUCGAUAUUGAAGAUAAAAUGCCUAAAAGAAGAUUGCGAGAUCUAAGUAUUGUUCAAAAUACUCCAAACUCGGAAGAAACAAUUAGUGAAUAACAAACUGCUAUUGGAUCUUCGAAUGUUCCGAAUACACCUGACGAACCUACAGAACUUCAAACUGAAAGUGGUGGGAUGCGCAGAGGUCGAGGAUGUACGCUACUUAAAGAUUUAUACGAGUUAGAUCCUGUCGAGUGUGUCAAAAUAUGUAGAAAUAUUUUUGGUCAGCCUGUUGGAUCAGAAGCUCGACUUUUAGCAGGAUAUUUGGGCAUUAUAGCACGAAAUGCCAAUAUGUUGCCUAUCAACUACGAGUCAUGACAUCAAAUGCCUGAUAGUAACAAAAAUCAAGCUCUCGAUAAUAUUAAGGCGAGGUUUGCUUUAGAGGUCUCGGAUAAUUAUGUCAAGAAGGCAUUAGGAAAAAGAUGGAGAGACCAUAAAAAUACUUUAAAGAAAGAAUAUUUUAAGACAAAAACAAUCCUCGAAGAGAAAUUGCGAAAUGUUCCACCGGGAAUGCUGAGGUACCAAUGGGAAGAUUUGGUUAGAUUUUGGAAUUCAAAGAAAGGAGAGGAUCGUGAACGAGUUGGAAAAAGUAGCAGGCAAAAAUAGAAAUUCACUCACACAGCUAGGUCGAAAAGUUUUGCUUGUGUACUUGAGGCCGAGGAACUGUCGUCUGGUCAAAAAGUUGGACGCCUUCAACUUUUUGACAUUACACAUAGGAAGAAAGAUGGAUCUCUUAUGACUUCUGAAGCUGCAGAAAUUAUGGAGAAACUAAAGGAUAAAAAGGUGGAGUAUGAAGCGAUUGCCUCGAUUGAUAGUUUUGUUAAUGUUGACGAAAUUGAUAAUCAGAUUAUUAUUGAAGUUUUGGGUCUUGAAAGGUAUGGUCGGGUUCGAUUUCAAAGAUUUUUUGUUAACCCAACCCAAUAUUUUAGAUCCAGCUCGCAGUAAAACAUGUCUUCGGGGAGUCAGGCUCAAGUUGAAGUUCAGAGGUUAAGAGACCAGAUGGCUUAGAUGCAAGCGAGCACAGUUGAGUGAAUUACUCAACUUAAAGCGGAGGCAGCAUCGAGAGAAGCUGAAGUUUAAAGAAAAUAUGAAGAACUCCAGCUACAACUUAAAGCAGAGGCAACAGUGAGGGAAGCAGAGCAGAGCAGAAAGUACGACGCACUCCAAAAAUAGCUUCAGAAUAUGAUGAAGAUGUUUCAGCAGUCGCAAAAUCCGCCAUCUUAGACUAUUGUAUGAAUAAUUUUAACAUUUUAAUUUUUAACAUUAUUGUAAGAAUAAUUUGAAUUAUACUUCAUUUAUCAUUUUAUAUGAUAUAUCUUUCGUUGAAUUUGAA